Molecule: ribosomal RNA, 493 nt
Filed under: uncultured bacterium
Lineage: Bacteria
Description: bacterial SSU rRNA
Rfam family: Bacterial small subunit ribosomal RNA
Source: RNAcentral
GAUCCUGGCUCAGAUUGAACGCUGGCGGAAUGCUUUACACAUGCAAGUCGAACGGUAGAGGGGGCAACCCCUUGAGAGUGGCGAACGGGUGAGUAAUAUAUCGGAACGUGCCCAGUCGUGGGGGAUAACGUAGCGAAAGUUACGCUAAUACCGCAUACGAUCUAAGGAUGAAANCGGGGGAUCGCAAGACCUCGCGCGAUUGGAGCGGCCGAUAUCAGAUUAGGUAGUUGGUGGGGUAAAGGCUCACCAAGCCAACGAUCUGUAGCUGGUCUGAGAGGACGACCAGCCACACUGGAACUGAGACACGGUCCAGACUCCUACGGGAGGCAGCAGUGGGGAAUUUUGGACAAUGGACGCAAGUCUGAUCCAGCCAUUCCGCGUGCAGGAUGAAGGCCCUCGGGUUGUAAACUGCUUUUGUACGGAACGAAAAGGUCUCUAUUAAUACUAGGGGCUCAUGACGGUACCGUAAGAAUAAGCACCGGCUAACUACGUG